GUGAGUCAUCGAAUCUUUGAACGCACAUUGCGCCCCUUGGUAUCCCGAGGGGCAUGCCUGUUCGAGCGUCAUUUCACCACUCAAGCCUGGCUUGGUAUUGGGCGCCGUCCCCGCAGCGGACGCGCCUCAAAGCUCUCGUGCGGCGCGGCACCGGCUUCGAGCGUAGCAGAAAUCUUUCGCUUUGGAAGCCCGGGGCCUCGCCCGCCGGAACGCCCACUCAAGGUUGACCUCGGAUCAGGCAGGGAUACCCGCUGAACUUAAGCAUAUCAAUAAGCGGAGGA
RNAcentral lists this unclassified non-coding RNA (281 nucleotides) under Dothideomycetes sp. RNAcentral describes it as "partial contains 5.8S ribosomal RNA, internal transcribed spacer 2, and large subunit ribosomal RNA". The stretch from base 1 to 71 matches the Rfam family "5.8S ribosomal RNA", at positions 84 to 154 of the family's 154-position model. The record is from RNAcentral. Lineage: Eukaryota; Fungi; Ascomycota; Dothideomycetes.